CAUAAUCUCUGAGGAGAAAAGCAGGGGAUCGCAAGACCUUGCGCUUUUGGAGCGGCCGAUGUCUGAUUAGCUAGUUGGUGAGGUAAAGGCUUACCAAGGCUUCGAUCAGUAGCUGGUCUGAGAGGACGACCAGCCACACUGGGACUGAGACACGGCCCAGACUCCUACGGGAGGCAGCAGUGGGGAAUUUUGGACAAUGGGGGCAACCCUGAUCCAGCCAUGCCGCGUGAGUGAAGAAGGCCUUCGGGUUGUAAAGCUCUUUCAGCCGGAACGGAACGGUCACGGUUAAUAACUGUGAUCACUGACGGUACCGGAAGAAGAAG
Molecule: ribosomal RNA, 323 nt
Filed under: uncultured beta proteobacterium
Lineage: Bacteria; Pseudomonadati; Pseudomonadota; Betaproteobacteria
Description: bacterial SSU rRNA
Rfam family: Bacterial small subunit ribosomal RNA
Source: RNAcentral